UACGAAGGGGGCUAGCGUUGUUCGGAAUUACUGGGCGUAAAGCGUGCGCAGGCGGCUAUUUAAGCUUGCUGUGAAAGCCCCGGGCUUAACCUGGGAACUGCAGUGAGGACUGGAUGGCUGGAGUGUGGCAGAGGGGGGUGGAAUUCCACGUGUAGCAGUGAAAUGCGUAGAGAUGUGGAGGAACACCGAUGGCGAAGGCAGCCCCCUGGGCUAACACUGACGCUCAGGCACGAAAGCGUGGGGAGCAAACAGG
This 253-nucleotide ribosomal RNA is filed under the name uncultured bacterium. RNAcentral describes it as "partial 16S ribosomal RNA". It matches the Rfam family "Bacterial small subunit ribosomal RNA", at positions 524 to 776 of the family's 1533-position model. The record is from RNAcentral.